GGGAUCGAGGGCUGCAACUCGCCCUCGUGAACCCGGAAUCCCUAGUAACCGCGGUUCUCAUACCGCGGUGAAUACGUCCCUGCCCCUUGUACACACCGCCCGUCAACUCACCCGAGUGGAGCUGGGGCAAGGUCCCAGCUCCAAAAGAGCUGGGAUCGAGCCUUGGCUCCGCGAGGGGGGGUAAGUCGUAACAAGGUGGCCGUAGGGGAACCUGCGGCUGGAUCACCUCCCA
RNAcentral lists this ribosomal RNA (232 nucleotides) under uncultured korarchaeote. RNAcentral describes it as "partial 16S ribosomal RNA". It matches the Rfam family "Archaeal small subunit ribosomal RNA", at positions 1250 to 1478 of the family's 1478-position model. Lineage: Archaea; Thermoproteati; Thermoproteota. The record is from RNAcentral.